Molecule: ribosomal RNA, 253 nt
Filed under: uncultured bacterium
Lineage: Bacteria
Description: partial 16S ribosomal RNA
Rfam family: Bacterial small subunit ribosomal RNA
Source: RNAcentral
UACGGAGGGAGCUAGCGUUGUUCGGAUAUACUGGGCGUAAAGCGCACGUAGGCGGCGCCGUAAGUCAGGGGUGAAAUCCCGGAGCUCAACUCCGGAACUGCCCUUGAAACUGCAGUGCUAGAAUCUUGGAGAGGCGAGUGGAAUUCCGAGUGUAGAGGUGAAAUUCGUAGAUAUUCGGAAGAACACCAGUGGCGAAGGCGACUCGCUGGACAAGUAUUGACGCUGAGGUGCGAAAGCGUGGGGAGCAAACAGC